Phyllostomus discolor (pale spear-nosed bat) is the source of this 161-nucleotide long non-coding RNA. RefSeq lists it as uncharacterized. NCBI's taxonomy places the organism in Eukaryota, Metazoa, Chordata, Mammalia, Chiroptera, Phyllostomidae. The record is from RefSeq and is a predicted model, not a curated record. The transcript is spliced from 4 exons.
GGAAGUCAGGCAUCUGUUCAUGAAAUUCUCUACAUUAGUCACAUGUGAAAAGGCUCUGUUGUGGGAGAAUGGGCUCAGGGGUGCAUGCUGUUGCAGUGGAGGUAACAGGACAGCUGUCACUGUCCUCACAGGUUGUCAGGAUGAUCCUAGUCAUCAGGGAU